RNAcentral lists this long non-coding RNA (2330 nucleotides) under Canis lupus familiaris (dog). RNAcentral describes it as "lncRNA (ENSCAFG00040017073.1)". Lineage: Eukaryota; Metazoa; Chordata; Mammalia; Carnivora; Canidae. The record is from RNAcentral.
GUCAGGUGUUGUGGCCCCACCUGGUGAAUCAGCCCAACCAGAAUGGGCUUAGUAAAGCACGUGUUGGUGUUGCAAAUACCCAGAGGCACUCUCCAAACUUCACAAAGCCUCCCUCCCUGCCCAGUCCAGGCAUGUUCCCCAGUUCUCUGCAGAAGGCACUCUGUUGGAGAAGGCCACACCUUGGUUUACUUGUGUUCCAGGACAGCUGGACCUAAGAGAGUGAGACCUCUUGCCCGAAUAACCUGGAAUUUAAAGAAAGGCUUGAUCAUUAAGAAGACCCAGCCAGGGAGUCCAGUACCUUGGCGUUAGUCCAUCCCCUUAUGGGCAGUGUUCUGGGAGGUGAUACUGAACAGAGGUAAGCACAGGAAUUUUGGGAUAAUCAUUGUCCAGAGCAUUGGCCUUUUGGAACUUGGGUUUUGGAACUCUCUGGGCUUGAAGCAUGUGAGUAUUGAUGCCACUAUGGGUCUAUAAGUUUAUGUCGAGCUAUGUCUGGCUAAAAGGACUGCUCACAUGUUCUAUCAUUGGGGUGUCAGUUCCUGAUUUCAUAACUCAGUUGGCAAGAUGAGGGAGUGGACAUGCUCCAAAAGCAGCACUCACUGAACAAUAGCUGUAGGUGGCCUUCAUUUUCUCUCCUUCCCGGCAACAGGCCUCUGUGCUUGCCAAGGCAUGUUCACAUCCACAUCUUGCUCAUCCUCACAGGGCUGUGGGUGACCUGGGAGUGACCAGAGUUUGCCCCUGUGUUCCUGCUGGGGAACUUGGGAAACCCUGGCUUCCUAGCUGGAUAUCUCCCCCAAAUACCACACAGCAAGCACACAGCACUCCUUUCCAAAUGUUUUGAUUUUUAAUGUUUCCUUUCAUAUUCCGGACUGACUCCUACCUGCCUUGCAACAAAUUUGAAACUAUACUAUCAUAUUAUUCCUGAUGUUCUGAAUCUAUCUUGUGUCUUAAAAAGCUUCAUAUUGCAUGCUUUGGUGUUUGUCCAUUUUUCUCCUCUCAGUUAAGGAGUAAUGAAAUCUCUUAUGACAAGUCCUAAGAAACGUGCUUAGGAAUGGCUGGCUGAAUGAACGGCUUUUGUACAAAACUUAAUGUGGAGGAGCCUUAGCUAAAAAUGGAGCCAAUUGCUUGUUCCACUCUGGUCUAAGGAGUCUUUGGGGAGUUUGGUGAUUGAAAGAAGGGUGUAGCAUUAUCACCUCAUUCAAGGCAUUGUCUGUCCAACACAUGCUACAACCAUGAUACGUGAAUGAAACUCAAAUACUAUGCUGAAAGCAAGAAGCCAGACCCUGAAGAAUACAAACUGCAUAUUCUGAUCAUUUGAAACUCCAGAAAACAGAGAUCUAGACUGUAUGGUAGAAAACACGUCAUUGCGAAGUAAGAAGGACAGAGGUAGAGAAUGACUAGGAAGAGGCAGGGGCUUUUCUUUGAGAAAUAGAAAUACUCUAGGUUUUUAUUGAUAGUAGUUACAUGGGUGUCCACAUUUGUCAAAAUACAUAGGUCCAUCUAUUUUAAACAGAUGCAUAUAAAUUUAUAUCUCAACAAGUUGAUUAAGAGAUGUGUAAGACAGGGGUACCUGAGUGGCUCAGUUGGUUUGGCAUCUGACUCUUGAUUUCAGCUCAGGUCAUGAUCUCAGGGUUGUGGUAUUGAGCCCCGGGUCAGGUCUGUGCUUAGCAGGCAGUCUGCUUGGGAUUCUCUCCCUCUCCUUCUGCCCCUCCCUCUGUUCACUCUCUCUCUCUCUCAAAUAAAUAAUUUUUUAAAAAAAAAAGAAAUGUGUAAUGUCAAAAGGAAAAUUUGCAAAUACUUGAACAAUUCUCCAUUUUUCUUCCUAUUCUCAAAGCUGUCUUAGGCACUUAUAAUAUCAUGAAAUGUGUUUAAAAUUCAAUAAUUCUUUUUUUUAAUUACUCCAGCAAACCUAACUCAGAAAACAUUUCUAAGUGUAAGAGUCUUGACUUUAAUCCAGUUGGUUAUGUAAGAAUAAACAACACAAAACAAACAUAUAUUAAUUUGAUAUUUACUGCUGCAAACAUUAGGCAGAGAUAUGCUUUUCACCAUGACUCACACAACAUAUUUAUACUUACUUAAACUGCACAUGCUCAUUUGUCCUAUUCUGAUUUUUUAAUAGAAUUGCUUUAACUAUGUGCUACAUUUUCUCUGUACUGUUUGGGUUUGGCUUCAUCGCUUGUUUUCUGUGUUAAUAAAAGGUAGCUCUUCAUAUUUACCUCUCUUUUCCUAGGCACACAUGGGGAACUAAUAAGAUGUUUCUGAGCCUUCCUCCUUCUGACAAAGGCUGGUGCAAUGUAACAUGAGUGCAAAUGUCCUGAGGCCUUGUCUGACUC